UCCCAGGUGGUGGAGUGGUAAAGAAUCCACCUGCUAAUGCAGGAGACUCGGGUUCGACUCCUGAUUUGGGAA
RNAcentral lists this transfer RNA (72 nucleotides) under Ovis aries (sheep). It matches the Rfam family "tRNA". From Rfam's summary of the family: Transfer RNA (tRNA) molecules are approximately 80 nucleotides in length. Their secondary structure includes four short double-helical elements and three loops (D, anti-codon, and T loops). The record is from Rfam by way of RNAcentral. Lineage: Eukaryota; Metazoa; Chordata; Mammalia; Artiodactyla; Bovidae.